UUAAGUUAUUAAGGGCGCACGGUGGAUGCCUUGGCACUAGAAGCCGAUGAAGGACGUUACUAACGACGAUAUGCUUUGGGGAGCUGUAAGUAAGCUUUGAUCCAGAGAUUUCCGAAUGGGGAAACCCAGCAUGAGUUAUGUCAUGUUAUCGAUAUGUGAAUACAUAGCAUAUCAGAAGGCACACCCGGAGAACUGAAACAUCUUAGUACCCGGAGGAAGAGAAAGAAAAUUCGAUUCCCUUAGUAGCGGCGAGCGAAACGGGAAGAGCCCAAACCAACAAGCUUGCUUGUUGGGGUUGUAGGACACUCUAUACGGAGUUACAAAGGACGACAUUAGACGAAUCAUCUGGAAAGAUGAAUCAAAGAAGGUAAUAAUCCUGUAGUCGAAAAUGUUGUCUCUCUUGAGUGGAUCCUGAGUACGACGGAGCACGUGAAAUUCCGUCGGAAUCUGGGAGGACCAUCUCCUAAGGCUAAAUACUCUCUAGUGACCGAUAGUGAACCAGUACCGUGAGGGAAAGGUGAAAAGCACCCCGGAAGGGGAGUGAAAUAGAACCUGAAACCGUGUGCUUACAAGUAGUCAGAGCCCGUUAAUGGGUGAUGGCGUGCCUUUUGUAGAAUGAACCGGCGAGUUACGAUUUGAUGCAAGGUUAAGCAGUAAAUGUGGAGCCGUAGCGAAAGCGAGUCUGAAUAGGGCGUUUAGUAUUUGGUCGUAGACCCGAAACCAGGUGAUCUACCCUUGGUCAGGUUGAAGUUCAGGUAACACUGAAUGGAGGACCGAACCGACUUACGUUGAAAAGUGAGCGGAUGAACUGAGGGUAGCGGAGAAAUUCCAAUCGAACCUGGAGAUAGCUGGUUCUCUCCGAAAUAGCUUUAGGGCUAGCCUCAAGUGAUGAUUAUUGGAGGUAGAGCACUGUUUGGACGAGGGGCCCCUCUCGGGUUACCGAAUUCAGACAAACUCCGAAUGCCAAUUAAUUUAACUUGGGAGUCAGAACAUGGGUGAUAAGGUCCGUGUUCGAAAGGGAAACAGCCCAGACCACCAGCUAAGGUCCCAAAAUAUAUGUUAAGUGGAAAAGGAUGUGGCGUUGCCCAGACAACUAGGAUGUUGGCUUAGAAGCAGCCAUCAUUUAAAGAGUGCGUAAUAGCUCACUAGUCGAGUGACACUGCGCCGAAAAUGUACCGGGGCUAAACAUAUUACCGAAGCUGUGGAUUGUCCUUUGGACAAUGGUAGGAGAGCGUUCUAAGGGCGUUGAAGCAUGAUCGUAAGGACAUGUGGAGCGCUUAGAAGUGAGAAUGCCGGUGUGAGUAGCGAAAGACGGGUGAGAAUCCCGUCCACCGAUUGACUAAGGUUUCCAGAGGAAGGCUCGUCCGCUCUGGGUUAGUCGGGUCCUAAGCUGAGACCGACAGGCGUAGGCGAUGGAUAACAGGUUGAUAUUCCUGUACCACCUAUAAUCGUUUUAAUCGAUGGGGGGACGCAGUAGGAUAGGCGAAGCGUGCGAUUGGAUUGCACGUCUAAGCAGUAAGGCUGAGUAUUAGGCAAAUCCGGUACUCAUUAAGGCUGAGCUGUGAUGGGGAGAAGACAUUGUGUCUUCGAGUCGUUGAUUUCACACUGCCGAGAAAAGCCUCUAGAUAGAAAAUAGGUGCCCGUACCGCAAACCGACACAGGUAGUCAAGAUGAGAAUUCUAAGGUGAGCGAGCGAACUCUCGUUAAGGAACUCGGCAAAAUGACCCCGUAACUUCGGGAGAAGGGGUGCUCUUUAGGGUUAACGCCCAGAAGAGCCGCAGUGAAUAGGCCCAAGCGACUGUUUAUCAAAAACACAGGUCUCUGCUAAACCGUAAGGUGAUGUAUAGGGGCUGACGCCUGCCCGGUGCUGGAAGGUUAAGAGGAGUGGUUAGCUUCUGCGAAGCUACGAAUCGAAGCCCCAGUAAACGGCGGCCGUAACUAUAACGGUCCUAAGGUAGCGAAAUUCCUUGUCGGGUAAGUUCCGACCCGCACGAAAGGCGUAACGAUUUGGGCACUGUCUCAACGAGAGACUCGGUGAAAUCAUAGUACCUGUGAAGAUGCAGGUUACCCGCGACAGGACGGAAAGACCCCGUGGAGCUUUACUGUAGCCUGAUAUUGAAAUUCGGCACAGCUUGUACAGGAUAGGUAGGAGCCUUUGAAACGUGAGCGCUAGCUUACGUGGAGGCGCUGGUGGGAUACUACCCUAGCUGUGUUGGCUUUCUAACCCGCACCACUUAUCGUGGUGGGAGACAGUGUCAGGCGGGCAGUUUGACUGGGGCGGUCGCCUCCUAAAAGGUAACGGAGGCGCUCAAAGGUUCCCUCAGAAUGGUUGGAAAUCAUUCAUAGAGUGUAAAGGCAUAAGGGAGCUUGACUGCGAGACCUACAAGUCGAGCAGGGUCGAAAGACGGACUUAGUGAUCCGGUGGUUCCGCAUGGAAGGGCCAUCGCUCAACGGAUAAAAGCUACCCCGGGGAUAACAGGCUUAUCUCCCCCAAGAGUUCACAUCGACGGGGAGGUUUGGCACCUCGAUGUCGGCUCAUCGCAUCCUGGGGCUGUAGUCGGUCCCAAGGGUUGGGCUGUUCGCCCAUUAAAGCGGUACGCGAGCUGGGUUCAGAACGUCGUGAGACAGUUCGGUCCCUAUCCGUCGUGGGCGUAGGAAAUUUGAGAGGAGCUGUCCUUAGUACGAGAGGACCGGGAUGGACAUACCUCUGGUGUACCAGUUGUCGUGCCAACGGCAUAGCUGGGUAGCUAUGUGUGGACGGGAUAAGUGCUGAAAGCAUCUAAGCAUGAAGCCCCCCUCAAGAUGAGAUUUCCCAACUUCGGUUAUAAGAUCCCUCAAAGAUGAUGAGGUUAAUAGGUUCGAGGUGGAAGCAUGGUGACAUGUGGAGCUGACGAAUACUAAUCGAUCGAAGACUUAAUCAA
This 2921-nucleotide ribosomal RNA is filed under the name Staphylococcus aureus C2549. RNAcentral describes it as "bacterial LSU rRNA". It matches the Rfam family "Bacterial large subunit ribosomal RNA". The record is from RNAcentral. Lineage: Bacteria; Bacillati; Bacillota; Bacilli; Caryophanales; Staphylococcaceae.